Molecule: ribosomal RNA, 451 nt
Filed under: uncultured bacterium
Lineage: Bacteria
Description: partial 16S ribosomal RNA
Rfam family: Bacterial small subunit ribosomal RNA
Source: RNAcentral
GUGGGGAAUAUUGGACAAUGGGGGGAACCCUGAUCCAGCCAUGCCGCGUGUGUGAAGAAGGCCUUUUGGUUGUAAAGCACUUUAAGCGAGGAGGAGGCUACCGAGAUUAAUACUCUUGGAUAGUGGACGUUACUCGCAGAAUAAGCACCGGCUAACUCUGUGCCAGCAGCCGCGGUAAUACAGAGGGUGCAAGCGUUAAUCGGAUUUACUGGGCGUAAAGCGCGCGUAGGUGGCCAAUUAAGUCAAAUGUGAAAUCCCCGGGCUUAACUUGGGAAUUGCAUUCGAUACUGGUUGGCUAGAGUAUGGGAGAGGAUGGUAGAAUUCCAGGUGUAGCGGUGAAAUGCGUAGAGAUCUGGAGGAAUACCGAUGGCGAAGGCAGCCAUCUGGCCUAAUACUGACACUGAGGUGCGAAAGCAUGGGGAGCAAACAGGAUUAGAAACCCCGGUAGUCC